Orbicella faveolata is the source of this 172-nucleotide long non-coding RNA. Lineage: Eukaryota; Metazoa; Cnidaria; Anthozoa; Scleractinia; Merulinidae. The record is from RefSeq and is a predicted model, not a curated record.
AAACCAAAGGCUGGAUGGACACCAGGAAAGUACAAAUAAAUGGGAUCAUAUAAUCCAUUGACUAAGCAAUUAGAAUACAACCCAUGCACCGGUGAGUUCUCAAAUGGUACGUACAACCGUGUAAUAAGGUGGAUGAGAUAGCUGCUGAUCACGAUAUUUGUUGUGAUAUGGG